RNAcentral lists this ribosomal RNA (560 nucleotides) under Penicillium glabrum. Its description in RNAcentral is "eukaryotic LSU rRNA". The stretch from base 206 to 359 matches the Rfam family "5.8S ribosomal RNA". The record is from RNAcentral. Lineage: Eukaryota; Fungi; Ascomycota; Eurotiomycetes; Eurotiales; Aspergillaceae.
UUUCCGUAGGUGAACCUGCGGAAGGAUCAUUACUGAGUGAGGGCCCUCUGGGUCCAACCUCCCACCCGUGUUUAUUAUACCUUGUUGCUUCGGUGCGCCCGCCUCACGGCCGCCGGGGGGCUUCUGCCCCCGGGUCCGCGCGCACCGGAGACACUAUUGAACUCUGUCUGAAGAUUGCAGUCUGAGCAUAAACUAAAUAAGUUAAAACUUUCAACAACGGAUCUCUUGGUUCCGGCAUCGAUGAAGAACGCAGCGAAAUGCGAUAACUAAUGUGAAUUGCAGAAUUCAGUGAAUCAUCGAGUCUUUGAACGCACAUUGCGCCCCCUGGUAUUCCGGGGGGCAUGCCUGUCCGAGCGUCAUUGCUGCCCUCAAGCACGGCUUGUGUGUUGGGCUCCGUCCCCCCGGGGACGGGUCCGAAAGGCAGCGGCGGCACCGAGUCCGGUCCUCGAGCGUAUGGGGCUUUGUCACCCGCUCUGUAGGCCCGGCCGGCGCCAGCCGACAACCAAUCAUCCUUUUUUCAGGUUGACCUCGGAUCAGGUAGGGAUACCCGCUGAACUUAA